GACGAACGCUGGCGGCGUGCUUAACACAUGCAAGUCGAACGGAAAGGCCCUGCUUUUGUGGGGUGCUCGAGUGGCGAACGGGUGAGUAACACGUGAGUAACCUGCCCUUGACUUUGGGAUAACUUCAGGAAACUGGGGCUAAUACCGGAUAGUAGCUCCUGCUGCAUGUUGUGGGUUGGAAAGUUUCGGCGGUUGGGGAUGGACUCGCGGCUUAUCAGCUUGUUGGUGUGGUAGUGGCUUACCAAGGCUUUGACGGAUAGCCGGCCUGAGAGGGUGACCGGCCACAUUGGGCCUGAGAUACGGCCAAGAGUGCUACGGGAGGCAGCAGUGGGGAAUAUUGCACAAUGGGCGGAAGCCUUAUGCAGCAACUCCGCGUGCGGGAUGACGGCUUUCGGGUUGUAAACCGCUUUCGCCUGUGACGAAGCGUGAGUGACGGUAAUGUGUAAAGAAGCACCGGCUAACUACGUG
RNAcentral lists this ribosomal RNA (468 nucleotides) under uncultured bacterium. RNAcentral describes it as "partial 16S ribosomal RNA". It matches the Rfam family "Bacterial small subunit ribosomal RNA", at positions 28 to 507 of the family's 1533-position model. The record is from RNAcentral.